UACGUAGGGUGCAAGCGUUGUCCGGAAUUAUUGGGCGUAAAGAGCUCGUAGGCGGUCUGUCGCGUCUGCUGUGAAAACUCGGGGCUUAACCCCGGGCCUGCAGUGGGUACGGGCAGACUAGAGUACUGCAGGGGAGACUGGAAUUCCUGGUGUAGCGGUGAAAUGCGCAGAUAUCAGGAGGAACACCGGUGGCGAAGGCGGGUCUCUGGGCCGAAACUGACGCUGAGGAGCGAAAGCGUGGGGAGCGAACAGG
RNAcentral lists this ribosomal RNA (253 nucleotides) under uncultured bacterium. RNAcentral's name for it is "partial 16S ribosomal RNA". It matches the Rfam family "Bacterial small subunit ribosomal RNA", at positions 524 to 776 of the family's 1533-position model. The record is from RNAcentral.